UGCCAGCCGCCGCGGUAAUACGGAGGGUGCAAGCGUUAAUCGGAAUUACUGGGCGUAAAGCGCGCGUAGGCGGUUGAGUGAGUCAGAUGUGAAAGCCCCGGGCUCAACCUGGGAACGGCAUUUGAUACUGCUUGACUAGAGUCUGACAGAGGGUGGCGGAAUUCCGGGUGUAGCGGUGAAAUGCGUAGAUAUCCGGAGGAACACCGGUGGCGAAGGCGGCUUCCUGGACCAACACUGACGCUGAGGUGCGAAAGCGUGGGUAGCAAACAGGAUUAGAUA
Molecule: ribosomal RNA, 279 nt
Filed under: uncultured bacterium
Lineage: Bacteria
Description: partial 16S ribosomal RNA
Rfam family: Bacterial small subunit ribosomal RNA
Source: RNAcentral